CAGUGGCGAACGGGUGAGUAACACGUGGGCAAUCUGCCCUGCACUCUGGGACAAGCCCUGGAAACGGGGUCUAAUACCGGAUACGACCUUCCUCUGCAUGGGGGUUGGUGGAAAGCUCCGGCGGUGCAGGAUGAGCCCGCGGCCUAUCAGCUUGUUGGUGGGGUAAUGGCCUACCAAGGCGACGACGGGUAGCCGGCCUGAGAGGGCGACCGGCCACACUGGGACUGAGACACGGCCCAGACUCCUACGGGAGGCAGCAGUGGGGAAUAUUGCACAAUGGGCGAAAGCCUGAUGCAGCGACGCCGCGUGAGGGAUGACGGCCUUCGGGUUGUAAACCUCUUUCAGCAGGGAAGAAGCGCAAGUGACGGUACCUGCAGAAGAAGCACCGGCUAACUACGUGCCAGCAGCCGCGGUAAUACGUAGGGUGCNGAGCGUUGUCCGGAAUUAUUGGGCGUAAAGAGCUCGUAGGCGGCCUGUCGCGUCGGAUGUGAAAANCCCGGGGCUUACCCCCGGGUCUGCAUUCGAUACGGGCAGGCUAGAGUGUGGUAGGGGAGAUCGGAAUUCCU
Molecule: ribosomal RNA, 566 nt
Filed under: Streptomyces sp. 337H05
Lineage: Bacteria; Bacillati; Actinomycetota; Actinomycetes; Kitasatosporales; Streptomycetaceae
Description: bacterial SSU rRNA
Rfam family: Bacterial small subunit ribosomal RNA
Source: RNAcentral